RNAcentral lists this unclassified non-coding RNA (255 nucleotides) under unidentified bacterium SMB-B1. RNAcentral's name for it is "partial RNAase P". It matches the Rfam family "Bacterial RNase P class A", at positions 43 to 293 of the family's 367-position model. From Rfam's summary of the family: Ribonuclease P (RNase P) is a ubiquitous endoribonuclease, found in archaea, bacteria and eukarya as well as chloroplasts and mitochondria. Its best characterised activity is the generation of mature 5'-ends of tRNAs by cleaving the 5'-leader elements of precursor-tRNAs. The record is from RNAcentral.
GAGGAAAGUCCGGGCUCCAUAGGGCAGGGUGCCAGGUAACGCCUGGGGGGGAAACCCACGACCAGUGCAACAGAGAGCAAACCGCCGAUGGCCCGCGCAAGCGGGAUCAGGUAAGGGUGAAAGGGUGCGGUAAGAGCGCACCGCGCGGCUGGUAACAGUCCGUGGCACGGUAAACUCCACCCGGAGCAAGGCCAAAUAGGGGUUCAUAAGGUACGGCCCGUACUGAACCCGGGUAGGCUGCUUGAGCCAGUGAGC